GUUUGAUCCUGGCUCAGGAUAAACGCUGGCGGCGCACAUAAGACAUGCAAGUCGAACGAACUUAACUCAUUCUUUUAGUUUGAGAGCGGUUAGUGGCGGACUGGUGAGUAACACGUAAGCAACCUGCCUAUUAGAGGGGAAUAACAGUGAGAAAUCAUUGCUAAUACCGCAUAUGCUAACAGUAUCGCAUGAUACAGUUAGGAAAGGAGUAAUCCGCUAAUAGAUGGGCUUGCGCCUGAUUAGCUAGUUGGUGGGGCAAUGGCCUACCAAGGCGACGAUCAGUAGCCGGACUGAGAGGUUGAACGGCCACAUUGGGACUGAGAUACGGCCCAGACUCCUACGGGAGGCAGCAGUCGGGAAUAUUGCGCAAUGGAGGAAACUCUGACGCAGUGACGCCGCGUAUAGGAAGAAGGUUUUCGGAUUGUAAACUAUUGUCGUUAGGGAAGAUACAAGACAGUACCUAAGGAGGAAGCCCCGGCUAACUAUGUGCCAGCAGCCGCGGUAAUACAUAGGGGGCAAGCGUUAUCCGGAAUUAUUGGGUGUAAAGGGUGCGUAGACGGAGGAGCAAGUUGGUUGUGAAAUCCCUCGGCUUAACUGAGGAACUGCAACCAAAACUACUUCCCUUGAGUGUCGGAGAGGAAAGUGGAAUUCCUAGUGUAGCGGUGAAAUGCGUAGAUAUUAGGAGGAACACCAGUGGCGAAGGCGACUUUCUGGACGAUAACUGACGUUGAGGCACGAAAGUGUGGGGAGCAAACAGGAUUAGAUACCCUGGUAGUCCACACCGUAAACGAUGGAUACUA
RNAcentral lists this ribosomal RNA (800 nucleotides) under uncultured bacterium. RNAcentral's name for it is "bacterial SSU rRNA". It matches the Rfam family "Bacterial small subunit ribosomal RNA", at positions 11 to 818 of the family's 1533-position model. The record is from RNAcentral.